This 363-nucleotide unclassified non-coding RNA is filed under the name uncultured bacterium. RNAcentral's name for it is "contains 16S-23S intergenic spacer region". The record is from RNAcentral.
UCCCCCGUGAGGGGGCAGUCUCGCCUGACAUAAGUAACAGACAACGAGGGUUGCGUUCGUUACCCCACUGAAGGGAACAGCUCAAGCCACGAACUGACGACAACCAUGCAUCACCUGCCAAGCACCCUCGAAGGCUUCCUCCGUUUCUGGAGGCGUGCAGCUUGGUUUCUAGCCCUGGUAAGGUUUUUCGCGGAUCAUCGAAUUAAGCCACACGUUCCACCGCUUGUGCGAGUCCCCGUCUAUUCCUUUGAGUUUUAAUCUUGCGAUCGUACUACCCAGGCGGCUCGCUUACCGCGUUAGCUUAGUCCCACAGAGGGUCGAUACUCCGUAGAACGAGCGAGCAACGUUUAGGGCCAGGACUAC